AGAGUUUGAUCAUGGCUCAGAGCGAACGCUGGCGGCAGGCCUAACACAUGCAAGUCGAACGGACCCUUCGGGGUUAGUGGCGGACGAGUGAGUAACACGUGGGAACGUGCCUUUAGGUUCGGAAUAGCUCCUGGAAACGGGUGGUAAUGCCGAAUGUGCCCUUCGGGGGAAAGAUUUAUCGCCUUUAGAGCGGCCCGCGUCUGAUUAGCUUGUUGGUGGGGUAAUGGCCCACCAAGGCUACGAUCAGUAGCUGGUCUGAGAGGAUGACCAGCCACAUUGGGACUGAGACACGGCCCAAACUCCUACGGGAGGCAGCAGUGGGGAAUCUUGCGCAAUGGGCGAAAGCCUGACGCAGCCAUGCCGCGUGUAUGAUGAAGGUCUUAGGAUUGUAAAAUACUUUCACCGGUGAAGAUAAUGACUGUAGCCGGAGAAGAAGCCCCGGCUAACUUCGUGCCAGCAGCCGCGGUAAUACGAAGGGGGCUAGCGUUGCUCGGAAUUACUGGGCGUAAAGGGAGCGUAGGCGGACAUUUAAGUCAGAGGUGAAAUCCCGGAGCUUAACUUCGGAACUGCCUUUGAUACUGGGUGUCUUGAGUGUGAGAGAGGUAUGUGGGACUCCGAGUGUAGAGGUGAAAUUCGUAGAUAUUCGGAAGAACACCAGUGGCGAAGGCGACAUACUGGCUCAUUACUGACGCUGAGGCUCGAAAGCGUGGGGAGCAAACAGGAUUAGAUACCCUGGUAGUCCACGCCGUAAACGAUGAUUGCUAGUUGUCGGAAAGCUUGCUUUUCGGUGACGCAGCUAACGCAUAAGCAUCCGC
This 815-nucleotide ribosomal RNA is filed under the name uncultured bacterium. RNAcentral's name for it is "bacterial SSU rRNA". It matches the Rfam family "Bacterial small subunit ribosomal RNA", at positions 8 to 872 of the family's 1533-position model. The record is from RNAcentral.